ACCCAUGAGGAGGAUGAUAUAACGGCCGCCGAAAAAUAGAUUCCAAAUUUCACUGUCUGAUUUUUGCGCGAUGAUCUUCUUCUCCCGUAGCACCAUAGCAGCGCCAAAAAGCAUUUAUUCACCAUGGCCAGCAUCGCCGAACAUAACACCGAACAGGAAGGGAAACGUAAUGAUGGUGUAAAGCGCCGGAUUAGCUUCGCGAUACGAUGCCACACCAUAUGCAUCGAUCAGAUUUUGAAAACCUCUCGUAAAUCUGUUUGUCCUGUUGAACGUCGGGGGAUUUUCAUCCGUGUGGAUCACGUUGAGAAACGAUGUUUGCCGAAGAAAUACGUUUCCACGGGAUAUACGCCAAAGCAUUCUCUCGAAGGCAGGAACUCGUUCGCGAUUUAUCACUCCGCCGACGAAUCUACAAGAAAACAGAUAUGUCAUUCUAAUGGUAUAAUUUAUUAAGCAGUACAUUAUAUAUAGCAUCGUAUAUAACUGUCGCUUCAUAUUGAUCUUGUUCAAAAAUUUGCUAAUAAAAUUAUCCAACAAAUAAUAUUAUUUAUUAUAUAUUUCUUUCCAAAUAUAUGUUAUCAUCGAAAUUAAUUAGAGAGGGAAUUACACAAUUGAUGAAUAAAGGACAAACUUUCAUUCUUUUUCAUUUUAA
Formica exsecta is the source of this 649-nucleotide long non-coding RNA. RefSeq lists it as uncharacterized. Lineage: Eukaryota; Metazoa; Arthropoda; Insecta; Hymenoptera; Formicidae. The record is from RefSeq and is a predicted model, not a curated record. The transcript is spliced from 3 exons.